This 449-nucleotide ribosomal RNA is filed under the name uncultured bacterium. RNAcentral's name for it is "bacterial SSU rRNA". It matches the Rfam family "Bacterial small subunit ribosomal RNA", at positions 328 to 794 of the family's 1533-position model. The record is from RNAcentral.
CUACCAGACUCCUACGGGAGGCAGCAGUAGGGAAUCUUUCACAAUGGGCGAAAGCCUGAUGGAGCAACGCCGCGUGCAGGAUGAAGGCCUUCGGGUUGUAAACUGCUUUUAUAAGCGAGAAAUAUGAUGGUAACUUAUGAAUAAGGAUCGGCUAACUACGUGCCAGCAGCCGCGGUAAUACGUAGGGAGCAAGCGUUGUCCGGAAUUACUGGGCGUAAAGGGCGCGUAGGUGGGCGCUUAAGUCAGGUGUGAAAACUCCGGGCUCAACCUGGAGACUGCACUUGAAACUGGGUGUCUUGAGGGCAGGAGAGGAAAGUGGAAUUCCUAGUGUAGCGGUGAAAUGCGUAGAUAUUAGGAGGAACACCAGUGGCGAAGGCGGAUUACUGGACGAUAACUGACGGUGAGGCGCGAAAGCGUGGGGAGCAAACAGGAUUAGAUACCCGGGUACC